Molecule: non-coding RNA, 272 nt
Organism: Camellia sinensis
Lineage: Eukaryota; Viridiplantae; Streptophyta; Magnoliopsida; Ericales; Theaceae
Source: RefSeq, a predicted model, not a curated record
UCAUAUGAUAAAUCAUAUUUGAAAAUCACUCUUCCAAUGUUUGAUUGCAGUGAAUUUUUAGACCGUGUUGUUGCUGCUACACUGACUUUUGAAAUCUUAACAAGAGAAAACUUCUAACUAAUUUCCCGACAUUACUCCCUCAGUUUUUCCCAUUAAUGCUAAAGCUCAUGAAAUGUAGAGAAAUCAGAAAAAUCGUUUCUAAGUGGGCUUCUAGCAUUGAUGUCUCUUGGAUCAUUUGUUCAGCUUAUUUCCAUCUCUCGUUGACUUACUAA